This 1042-nucleotide long non-coding RNA is filed under the name Solanum tuberosum (potato). RNAcentral describes it as "long non-coding RNA (STUB_LNC002340)". The record is from RNAcentral. Lineage: Eukaryota; Viridiplantae; Streptophyta; Magnoliopsida; Solanales; Solanaceae.
UUUCACAUUUGGUUCUUCUGUGCUAUGAGCUUGAGGUGUAUUUCUAAAUGCAGUAUAUUUCCUAUAGGCUAUAGCUUUAAGUUUUCCGGGACUGUUUCUUUAUGAGAAAAUGAUCAAAAUGGUCCUUAAUGUAUGGUCUUUGAUUCCAUUUGGUCCUUAAUGUAUGGAGUUGAUGGAAAUGGUCCUUUAUGUAUCAUAAAUUGUGAUCAAUUUAGUCCUUAACCCUAAAAUUUUAAUGGCAGCAAUUAUUUAAAAAAAAUUUAAACUAAAAUCGCUACACGCGGAGCGAUUUCCCAUUAUUUUUUAAGCAGUCCUCGCCUCGAGAAUUUUUAAUAAAAAAAAUUGAACUUUUUUAAGAAAAUGGCUGCUAUAGCAGCUAUUUCUAUUUUUUAAAUGCUGCUGGGGCAACGUUGUUAAAAAAAUAAAAAUCACAACAGCGAUUUUAAAGAAAAAAGAAAUUUUUUUUUGGACCGGCAGCGAUUUUUAUGUUUUUUAAAGGAGUAACAGCGUCAAUUUUGUCAGAAGAAAAUCACUCCGUCAGAAGCGAUUUUGCCCUUUUGGUUAAGAAAAAAUUGAUGUGUCAUUUUGGAAUUUUUGGAAACAGGGGAAGGAAAGUCUUGAACGAGUGCAUCUUUUACAUAUUCCGUGUAUUUUGACGGCAAAAUAAAAUAAAAUAUUAAUUUUAGGGUUAAGGACCAAAUUAAUCACAAUUUAUGAUACAUAAAGGACCGUUUUCAUCAAGUCCAUACAUUAAGGACCAAAUGGAAUCAAAGCCAUACAUUAAGUACCAUUUUGAUCAUUUUCUCGUUUCUUUAUACUCCUGUUUUUUCUUUAAAUUUCUGUUGUUUUAUGUUCCUACUGUAUUUUGGAAUUUCAUUGUCAAUUUGGUUGAGUGAUUAAGCGACUUGAUUAGGACUUUGUGACUCUUAUAUUCCUAUAAGAGUCAAGCUCAUAUAUUUUCCUAUAAGGCUAUAGCUUUUAAUUUCUGGGACUGUUUCUUUAUAUUCCUGUUUUUUCUUUAAAUUUCUGCUGUUUAAUGUUC